Molecule: non-coding RNA, 1851 nt
Organism: Dermatophagoides farinae (American house dust mite)
Lineage: Eukaryota; Metazoa; Arthropoda; Arachnida; Sarcoptiformes; Pyroglyphidae
Source: RefSeq, a predicted model, not a curated record
CUGAAUUCAAUGCACAACGUUGAAAUGGUAUCAUCAUUACCGCUGUUGUUGUUGUUGUUGUUAUCAUCGAUCAAUCCAUUAAUCAGAUGAUGAUCCAAAUGAAAAUCGAUAUGAAAAGAAUUUUCAUCAUUUUCGAUCGAACAAAAAAAAUCAAAUCCUGUUAUCUUUUUGAAUCGUAUCAGAAAACUAUUUUUGUACAAUCAUUAUCAAAAUCGAAUCGAACAAUUGAUGGUCAUUUUAUCGAUAUCGUCAAUCUUUUCUGGGCUGUGGUUUUUAUAUAUAUUGGCCAGAGAAACUAAAAAAAAAUCAAUAGAUUUCAAUUUUAUGAUAUGGGCUGUGGUUUUCGAAUCAAAAAAAAAAAAAAAAAAAAAAAUUUUUCUAUUGGCAAACAUCCUAUAUUUACAUAUGGCCGUGAAUGUUAUUUACAUCGUCGUCAUCGGUGAAAAAAAAAUUUUUUUUUUUUUUUUUUUGAAAAAAUACAACGCCCCGUUGGGACGACCGUAUACAUAUAUUGAUCUAAACGUAAUUAUAAUCAAAUCAAUUUCACAUUUUUAUGAUGAUUUGAAUUUAUUCGAUCACAAGAUCAUCCAAAAAUUCCGGCUACCAAUGGAUCCCGUGGGCAUAUAUAUAUAGCAGCCCAUUCAUAAAUGAAUACACAUCAAGCCAUCAAAUUCACAAUCCAUUCGAAUUUUUUUCUUGUCCUAUUUUUAGCACUGACCCCGGUUGCCAGAAAAUGGUAAAUACCAGAAAAAAAAGAAAAAAUCUCCAAUUGCCUGAUCGGCACUAAUAUUUGAUUCAGUUUAUUUUCAAAUUUAAUUUAAAAAAAAAAUUGCAAUGGAAAAUGAUGUUUCUAUAGACAUCUUUACACACAACAACACACACACAUCCAAUUAUAACGAUAAACGACGAACCCAACAACCCAGCAAACAUUCUGUAUGUUAUAUAUGAAAAAUUUUCUUUUAUUUAUGAAAAAAUUUGUUUUCAUUCAACAGAUCCGGUUAUUUUUAUAUACAAUUUGCAUUGCAUUUUCUGGUAUGUUUUCGGAUCAAAAAAAAAAAAACAAAAUCGAAUCGAAAUGAAAUGAAAUGAAACGAAACCAAAUGAAAUGAAACGAAACGAAACGAAACAUGAAAUGCAAACCAAGAUUAACGCAUAGCCAAUGAAAACUCAAUUUUAUGGUGUAUAAUAACCAACAACAACAACAACAACAACGAAUACACAAUAACAAUUCCUCUAUAUGAAAUUCACCAAAGAAGAAAAAAAUCCCUUUUGUAUGUGUUUUGGGUUAUAUAUAUAGCCCUAACUAUAAAUGUAUGAUAUCCAACAAUAUUGAUCCAUAGUUUUCCAUUAGUGUUUAGUUAGAUGGAUCUCUGUCCCGGCAUUAUAUUAUUUUUAUUCCAUUCGAUCAGACAAACGAAAAAAGGCAGCCAAUCUAGAACCACACACACACACACACUAAAUGUAUAUCCUCUCAAUGUCAUAUUAUGAAAAAAAAUCAUCGUCAUCGUUCCUUCUUCCUUCGCCAGCAGCAAUGAAAAAAAAGAAGAAGAAGAAAGCAAUAGCAUACAUUAAUGUAAAGAAGAAAAUGUUUCACACAACCAGAAUGUGAUGGUACUGAAAAAAGCUCGGAAACUCUCCUUCCCCAGUAUCAUCAUCAUCAUCAUCACCACCAUCAUCAUCAUCGUCUUCUGUUUUUGGAACGUCGUCAAUUUUAUGUUCCAAAUUGUGUUGCUAUUUAGAUCUAAACAUAUAUAAUACACACAUUCAUAUUGUUCUGGUUUGUGUGUAUGUGUAUGUGUAUGUGUUCUAUUCAUUCUAUUUUUUAAACAUUUAAUUCUGGAACUCAUCAUC